RNAcentral lists this ribosomal RNA (253 nucleotides) under uncultured bacterium. RNAcentral's name for it is "partial 16S ribosomal RNA". It matches the Rfam family "Bacterial small subunit ribosomal RNA", at positions 524 to 776 of the family's 1533-position model. The record is from RNAcentral.
UACGGAGGGAGCUAGCGUUGUUCGGAAUUACUGGGCGUAAAGCGCGCGUAGGCGGCUUUGUAAGUUAGAGGUGAAAGCCCGGGGCUCAACCCCGGAAUUGCCUUUAAGACUGCAUCGCUUGAAUCCGGGAGAGGUGAGUGGAAUUCCGAGUGUAGAGGUGAAAUUCGUAGAUAUUCGGAAGAACACCAGUGGCGAAGGCGGCUCACUGGACCGGCAUUGACACUGAGGUGCGAAAGCGUGGGGAGCAAACAGG